This 1229-nucleotide long non-coding RNA is filed under the name Panax ginseng (ginseng). Its description in RNAcentral is "long non-coding RNA (PGIN_LNC001340)". Lineage: Eukaryota; Viridiplantae; Streptophyta; Magnoliopsida; Apiales; Araliaceae. The record is from RNAcentral.
UCCUAUUUUUCAAAAAUCUUGUUAUUUUCCCAUUGUUAAUGAACUAAUAUAUACCUCUCCUCAAGUUUAAUUUCUCCUACUUGUUUGGCUCAAAAGAAAAUGAAGAACAUUCUUUUAGUUGGUAUUUACCCAUUGUUGCAUGUGACAGUUCUUUUCAUGGUACUUGUGCCGGCAAAAAGCCUUCAACCACAUCAUUGUAAGUGCAACGUUUUCAUCAUUUUUUGUUGUUAUGGUUUGACUAUUUUUGGCAUUUUAGAGUUAGAGGCUUAAUAUGCUUUCGAGUCAAGGGUUUACCCGUGCACACUUGAAGGGUAGUAGUUACUUAAUUUGCUUUAGGGUUUGUUUGGUUAUUAGUAUUUGCACCGUUUGUAACGGUAGUAUUUAGUGGAUUUGAACCUCCAAAAGUACUAUUUUUUUGGGUGUAUUGUGUUUUAAAUAAAUUGCGUUUGAAAUAGGAACAAGACUUCCGGUACCAAAUAUGCACUUAAUAUUCUACUUUUUCUAUUUUCUAUUAUUUUUUACUAAUGUGAAAUGCUAUAAAUUUCAGUCACCUACCAUGAAAAGGGUACAAAUAAUGAAGAUCAAACUCGUAUGCAGCCUCAGGUUUGUUUUCUGAUCUAGUAUGCCUUCCCUUGUACGCAUUACACACAAUUCAUAAGUCAUACUUUCUCUUCUAAAAACCAGAAUCCUAUUUGACUAGUUAAUUUUUUUACACGCCUAUCAAGGUUUAUGUAAAUUCUGCUGCACACUUAAAGUUAAAGUUUCAAUUUUUUUUCCAACACCAAAUUUUUUUAUACAUUCAAAAAAAUUCCUCUUGUAGGCUUUAGUGUGCAUUGGAAAAAAGUUAACAACUUAAAUUGGAUUCUCACUUUCGAAUGGACAGAAUAUGGAGUGUGCAAUCUAGCUUGUUUGGUACCAGCAUUUGAACUGGUAUCUUUUAGUGUAUUUGGGCUUUCAAAUACAUCACAUCAAAAAUGGUGUAGUGCCUUUAACACUAAACACUAUAUUUUUUAGUUAAAUUAAUAACGUUUAAAAUAAAUUAUUUUUAGAUAAACAAAAGUUUAAAGUGUAUUUAAACUUUUAGACGAACAAAACGCUCCACCAAACAAGCAGUAAACGAAAAUGAAGUCAUCUUAAUUAUGUACCUUUACAUUUCAUCAUGACUAAUGAACAUGAAUUUGUGAUUAUCGUGAAUAAAUUAGGAAAAUAGAAGAGAAGUUGGGAUGGAG